UUGUGUUGAAUCUCAAUCAGGGUGACUCAACCUUGGCAACACCAAGUGAGUAAAUGCGCCCCAGUGCUUUUCAAAGCCAAGUGCUUCACACAUAUAAGAAAUUCGAUGUGAUGUUUAUUAAGCUGGUACUUAUCCAAAUCUUCUGUGUUCAUACUACUGACUAGAGAAACAGAUGAGAUGGAUGCAGGAGAUGAGGCCCUGGUUGGAAAGAUCCUGGCUCCCUAAUUCACUGUGUUAGCUGUGUGGAGCUGAGACCACCCAUCUGCGUGUUGACCUAAAUUAGACUGUGAUGGAAGAGACGGUCAAUAAACAAACUGAUAAAUGAGAACAAUGUCCGACGCUGAUCAAUGCUCUGCUGAAAAAUAAAAUGUGAUGUGAU
Molecule: long non-coding RNA, 379 nt
Organism: Myotis myotis
Lineage: Eukaryota; Metazoa; Chordata; Mammalia; Chiroptera; Vespertilionidae
Exons: 3
Source: RefSeq, a predicted model, not a curated record